AUGAGAACUCAUCGUCAUUCCUGCAUUGGAGCGACGUUCCAGAAGUCUAAGCCCUGUUCUCAGAGACCACAUGCUCACACAGCUGUCCCAACCAUCCCACAGCCACCUGCCCUCCUCGGCAGCGCUAGCUCGCCAAAGAAGACGGCCCUGGUGUUCCGAGGCUUCCAUUUUCCACCUUUCCUUUUUCUGUUCUUCCAAGGAGCGCUUCGUUGUCUGAAGGCUAUCAAUCCAGCCUUUUCACUGACUCCUCUGGGAUGGAACCAACCUGCCCCUUGUUCACAUCCACGGUUUCUUGUCCCACAACUGGGGCACCCUCUCUCCAUGAGUCACUGCAUGAUUCUCUUUAUCUCCAUGCUACCCGAACGCAGAUGCUCUCCUUGGUGAGGGAUACAUCUCAAUUAGCUGCCUUUGAUUAGCAGUGAACACAUUCCUGCCAAGCCCUGACACAAACAGAAGCUGGCUACUCAGCAAUCCAAUUAUCAACAAAGCUUUAUCUAAUUAAAUCUAUUACUGAACGUCCCUUGUUCAAAACAAAAUGUAUUGAUUAAUUUUUUUUUUUACUCAAUCAAUUAAUAGGAAUAUACUAAGCAGGGCCAGCUAGGUAGCUCAGUGGAUGGAGGUUCUGGGUUCAGACACUUCCUGGUUAUGUGACCCUGGGCAAGUCACUUGACCCCCAUUGCCUAGCCCUUACCACUUUUCUGCCUUGGAACCAAUACACAGUAUUGAUUCCAAGAUGGAAGGUAAGGGUUUAAAAAAAAACAACUGAUACUUAGUGUUGAUUCUAAGAGAGAAGGUGGGGGAUUUUUUAAAAAGGGACUAUAUUAAGCACCUACUAUAUACCAGGCACUAUGCUAGGAGCCAGAGAGACAACACAAAAAUGGUAUAGUUCCUGCCCUCAGGAAGCUUACAUUCUAGUGAAUGGAAUUGCCUGCUUCCUCCUUCCCCAGCUUUCCCUCACAGUCUUCAGGCUUUGGGGAUGAGGGUAUCCCUGUUUCUAGGGGGGAAGGGACUCUGAAACCUUUUCUCCUCCAAGCCCUCAGUCUAUAGGGUAAUCCCGAGAGGAUCCAAGCUCUCCCUGAAUGCUUCAUCGGUUGCAUCCACAACUUUGUUUGUACAAAGUUUGUAGGUGGUCUCCUCCACUGGACUGUAAGCCCCCUGUGGCCUUUACUCUUCUUUGCAUCCCCAGUGCUUAGCACAGCAUGCCUGGCAUUCAGUAGGCACUUAAAUGUUUGUUGGCUUGACUUGAGCUGGGAUCCCAAGGGUCCAUCCUCUUUACUCCACCCCCUGCUAUCAUCCUCAGCUCCGGUUUGAAAAUGCUUUGUUGGGGUAUGAGACCACCUGGUUUGGCCUCUCUUCAAUUGGUCUCAGUUCCCCAUGUGUCUGUCUUGUCUA
RNAcentral lists this long non-coding RNA (1392 nucleotides) under Monodelphis domestica (gray short-tailed opossum). Its description in RNAcentral is "lncRNA (ENSMODG00000044556.1)". Lineage: Eukaryota; Metazoa; Chordata; Mammalia; Didelphimorphia; Didelphidae. The record is from RNAcentral.